UGCGUGAAACCGUUUGGAGGGAAACGGGUGGGAGCUCGAAGGUCGAACGGAUGGGAAGGGAUUCAACUUGGUCGUAGUAGCUGGUUGACCCCGGAGUGUGCUUGAGUGCGUUGGCGUUCUCAUCUUGCGGUGAGAAUGUUGCGUGUUCCACGUUCUGGUCAUGCCUAGUUUGCUGCGCCUUGUGCAUUUCCCUAUCUCCCCUCUCCUAGUAGGACGCCGUGACCGGCUGUUGAGGGAAGCCCAAAAGCUGGUCGGAGCAGCUGCGCGGAUGAGUGUGGGAUUUGUUCCCUGCAUCUGGUCUGUCUGUCUCUGGCCGCCUGCGGGAAGCUUCCUCCGGCCGAGGAAAUGUGCGAGCUGGGCUUCCGUAAGGUCGUCCCUCGUCCAUGAACGUACCCACGAUCCACGGUGCGGGUCGAAAGAACCCAACGAGUGGCUGCGGGUAGGCUGCGUGCCAGGUUUAACGACCUGGUUUCGCGCGGUCUCCCGUUUGUCAGUCGCUGGCGGUCAGGGUGCGGACUCCCGCAAGGGGUGCUGGGGGUCAACGGCGAGUAGAUUGGUUUCCCACCCGACCCGUCUUGAAACACGGACCAAGAAGUCUAACGUGUGGGCGAGUCUUCGGGGCCUGCAAACCCUUAGAAGGCGUAAUGAAAGUGAAGGUGGAUGAGAAUGGCUCUUCCUGGCAGCCGCGAGGUUGUUGGGAAUAGAGCCGGACUCUCUGCUGGGGUGGGAUCCUCUGUCUAAUGGCAGGGGCGCACCACCGGCCCAUCCUACGGCCGCUAAAGCCGGUCGGGUGGAGCAAGAGCCCACACGUUGGGACCCGAAAGAUGGUGAACUAUGCCUGGGCA
This 845-nucleotide ribosomal RNA is filed under the name Polydesmida sp. NZAC 03011952. RNAcentral describes it as "partial 28S ribosomal RNA". It matches the Rfam family "Eukaryotic large subunit ribosomal RNA", at positions 396 to 843 of the family's 3401-position model. Lineage: Eukaryota; Metazoa; Arthropoda; Diplopoda; Polydesmida. The record is from RNAcentral.